UCUGAUCAAAAUGCUCUAAGUUGAUGCCAUUGCUUCAUACCUGAGCUCUUUGAUCUAGAUUAGCAUUCGGGGACCCUCCGCAUGGACUGGUGCCGUUUGAGAUCCCGUGAUCUCUAGCAUUGUGUGAUUAUUACACAAGGAAUUCAAAGCAAUCUCAGGUUAAUAGUCAAGAUGAUGAAGGAAUCAAGUUAGGAUGGACUAGAUACCCAUUUUAAUAAUAAACCAUGUUUGUUGCAAUUUGUCUUUAUUUGAAACAGUGUAUUAUUCUUUAGUUUUAAUAAAAUGAUUUAAUUC
This 294-nucleotide long non-coding RNA is filed under the name Helianthus annuus (common sunflower). RNAcentral's name for it is "sRNA HanXRQr2_Chr06g0262581". The record is from RNAcentral. Lineage: Eukaryota; Viridiplantae; Streptophyta; Magnoliopsida; Asterales; Asteraceae.